GGUGAGAUAGCCAAGCGGUUACGGCGCUGUGUUAAGGUGAUGUGAAAUCAUAACUUCCGCAGUCCUUCGGGGCGUGGGUUCGAAUCCCACUCUCAUCA
Molecule: transfer RNA, 98 nt
Organism: Naematelia encephala
Lineage: Eukaryota; Fungi; Basidiomycota; Tremellomycetes; Tremellales; Naemateliaceae
Rfam family: tRNA
About the family: Transfer RNA (tRNA) molecules are approximately 80 nucleotides in length.
Source: Rfam